Molecule: unclassified non-coding RNA, 763 nt
Filed under: Hevea brasiliensis (rubber tree)
Lineage: Eukaryota; Viridiplantae; Streptophyta; Magnoliopsida; Malpighiales; Euphorbiaceae
Source: RNAcentral
UCAGCAAAACAGCAAAGGUUUCUUCUAAUUACAGUUGGUAGAGGCCGUUCUGUUGAAUUGUUCUGAAGUCUAUUUGAAUAUUUGGGACGUGGGAAAUCUUGUGCCAGCGUUCACCCAUUUUGUUUCGCCAUCUCUCGUUCAGUCUUGAACAUGCAUGGAUGGAUAGAUACUGUAAUCCAGUGAGAUUUGCCAUCCACUCUGGUAAAGACAUCAAACUAUGACACCUUUCAAUUAUGAGACAUCGCAGCGCAGUUGCAUGUUGAAGCCCCUUUGGGAUAGCCACCAAUUCUGGAAUGCCAAUCAAUCGAAGAGUAUGGAGGCUUUUAAGGCCUUUCCAUUGCUCAUUGUCAUCAUUCUCAUCUUCGGAAGCAGCAGUAGUCAACCUCGAGCAAUCAAAAAUACAUACUUCUUGAAGAGAAGUGAAGCAUGGCAGCAACUCCUCUGGCAGAAAUUCAAAAUCCUCAAUUUCCCAAACCGUCAAGCUUUUCAACUGAGACCCAGCAUAGGAAAGUGGAGAAGAUGGAUCAAAAGAAGAAGAUGAGCUGGAAUUUGAUACCGAAAUUGUCAAGUUCAGUAUCUGCUCCAAUGAACUCAUGCUAGAUUUUUCCAAUCUCAGUCUCUCAAGAGAUGGUAAAGGUGGGAUUGAAGUCAGGUUACAGCAAGAGUGUAUCUCCAAAUCGGAAAGACAAGGCAAUGGAAGCAGUUCUGCUGCUGUUCUAUUAUCCCCGCUGCAUCUCCGCCAUCCCUUCAGAUUUGGGCAAUU